This 496-nucleotide ribosomal RNA is filed under the name uncultured bacterium. Its description in RNAcentral is "partial 16S ribosomal RNA". It matches the Rfam family "Bacterial small subunit ribosomal RNA", at positions 28 to 523 of the family's 1533-position model. The record is from RNAcentral.
GAUGAACGCUAGCGGCAGGCCUAAUACAUGCAAGUCGAGGGGUAGAAGAGGCUUGCUUCUUUGAGACCGGCGCACGGGUGCGUAACGCGUAUGCAACCUACCUUCAUCUGGGGGAUAGCCCGGAGAAAUCCGGAUUAAUACCGCAUAAAAUCACAGGAUGGCAUUAUCCAAUGAUCAAACAUUUAUGGGAUGGAGAUGGGCAUGCGUGUCAUUAGCUAGUUGGCGGGGUAACGGCCCACCAAGGCGACGAUGACUAGGGGAUCUGAGAGGAUGGCACGCCACACUGGUACUGAGACACGGACCAGACUCCUACGGGAGGCAGCAGUAAGGAAUAUUGGUCAAUGGAGGCAACUCUGAACCAGCCAUGCCGCGUGCAGGAAGACUGCCCUAUGGGUUGUAAACUGCUUUUAUUCGGGAAUAAACCUUAUUACGUGUAAUAAGCUGAAUGUACCGAAGGAAUAAGGAUCGGCUAACUCCGUGCCAGCAGCCGCAGUAA